CGGCACCUCAAGUGGUCAGGAUGAUUAUUGGGCCUAAAGCAUCCGUAGCCGGCUCUGUAAGUUUUCGGUUAAAUCUGUACGCUCAACGUACAGGCUGCCGGGAAUACUGCAGCGCUAGGGAGUGGGAGAGGUAGACGGUACUCGGUAGGAAGGGGUAAAAUCCUUUGAUCUAUUGAUGACCACCUGUGGCGAAGGCGGUCUACCAGAACACGUCCGACGGUGAGGGAUGAAAGCUGGGGGAGCAAACCGGAUUAGAUACCCGUGUAGUCC
Molecule: ribosomal RNA, 270 nt
Filed under: uncultured archaeon
Lineage: Archaea
Description: partial 16S ribosomal RNA
Rfam family: Archaeal small subunit ribosomal RNA
Source: RNAcentral